GUAGUCAUAUGCUUGUCUCAAAGAUUAAGCCAUGCAUGUCUAAGUAUAAGCAAUCUAUACCGUGAAACUGCGAAUGGCUCAUUAAAUCAGUUAUCGUUUAUUUGAUAGUACCUUACUACUUGGAUAACCGUGGUAAUUCUAGAGCUAAUACAUGCUAAAAACCUCGACUUCGGAAGGGGUGUAUUUAUUAGAUAAAAAACCAAUGCCCUUCGGGGCUCCUUGGUGAUUCAUAAUAACUUAACGAAUCGCAUGGCCUUGUGCCGGCGAUGGUUCAUUCAAAUUUCUGCCCUAUCAACUUUCGAUUGUAGAGUAGUGGUCUACAAUGGUUUCAACGGGUAACGGGGAAUUAGGGUUCUAUUCCGGAGAGGGAGCCUGAGAAACGGCUACCACAUCCAAGGAAGGCAGCAGGCGCGCAAAUUACCCAAUCCCGACACGGGGAGGUAGUGACAAUAAAUACUGAUACAGGGCUCUUUUGGGUCUUGUAAUUGGAAUGAGUACAAUUUAAAUCCCUUAACGAGGAACAAUUGGAGGGCAAGUCUGGUGCCAGCAGCCGCGGUAAUUCCAGCUCCAAUAGCGUAUAUUAAAGUUGUUGCAGUUAAAAAGCUCGUAGUUGAACCUUGGGCCUGGCUGGCCGGUCCGCCUCACCGCGUGCACUGGUCCGGCCGGGUCUUUCCUUCUGAGGAGCCGCAUGCCCUUCACUGGGUGUGUCGGGGAAUCAGGACUUUUACUUUGAAAAAAUUAGAGUGUUCAAAGCAGGCCUAAGCUCGAAUACAUUAGCAUGGAAUAAUAGAAUAGGACGUGUGGUUCUAUUUUGUUGGUUUCUAGGACCGCCGUAAUGAUUAAUAGGGAUAGUCGGGGGCAUCAGUAUUCAAUUGUCAGAGGUGAAAUUCUUGGAUUUAUUGAAGACUAACUACUGCGAAAGCAUUUGCCAAGGAUGUUUUCAUUAAUCAGUGAACGAAAGUUAGGGGAUCGAAGACGAUCAGAUACCGUCGUAGUCUUAACCAUAAACUAUGCCGACUAGGGAUCGGGCGAUGUUAUCUUUUUGACUCGCUCGGCACCUUACGAGAAAUCAAAGU
Molecule: ribosomal RNA, 1076 nt
Filed under: Phialocephala compacta
Lineage: Eukaryota; Fungi; Ascomycota; Leotiomycetes; Helotiales; Mollisiaceae
Description: SSU rRNA
Rfam family: Eukaryotic small subunit ribosomal RNA
Source: RNAcentral